CCUACGGGCUGCAGCAGUGAGGAAUAUUGGUCAAUGGACGAGAGUCUGAACCAGCCAAGUAGCGUGAAGGAUGACUGCCCUAUGGGUUGUAAACUUCUUUUAUAUGGGAAUAAAACGUUCCACGUGUGGGAUUUUGUAUGUACCAUAUGAAUAAGGAUCGGCUAACUCCGUGCCAGCAGCCGCGGUAAUACGGAGGAUCCGAGCGUUAUCCGGAUUUAUUGGGUUUAAAGGGAGCGUAGGUGGAUUGUUAAGUCAGUUGUGAAAGUUUGCGGCUCAACCGUAAAAUUGCAGUUGAAACUGGCAGUCUUGAGUACAGUAGAGGUGGGCGGAAUUCGUGGUGUAGCGGUGAAAUGCUUAGAUAUCACGAAGAACUCCGAUUGCGAAGGCAGUUCACUGGACUGCAACUGACACUGAGGCUCGAAAGUGUGGGUAUCAAACAGGAUUAGAUACCCCUGUAGUC
This 460-nucleotide ribosomal RNA is filed under the name uncultured bacterium. RNAcentral describes it as "partial 16S ribosomal RNA". It matches the Rfam family "Bacterial small subunit ribosomal RNA", at positions 338 to 795 of the family's 1533-position model. The record is from RNAcentral.